GACGAACGCUGGCGGCGUGCUUAACACAUGCAAGUCGAACGGAAAGGCCCUGCUUUUGUGGGGUGCUCGAGUGGCGAACGGGUGAGUAACACGUGAGUAACCUGCCCUUGACUUUGGGAUAACUUCAGGAAACUGGGGCUAAUACCGGAUAGGAGCUCCUGCUGCAUGGUGGGGGUUGGAAAGUUUCGGCGGUUGGGGAUGGACUCGCGGCUUAUCAGCUUGUUGGUGGGGUAGUGGCUUACCAAGGCUUUGACGGGUAGCCGGCCUGAGAGGGUGACCGGGCACAUGGGGACUGAGAUACGGACCAGACUCCUACGGGAGGCAGCAGGGGGGAAUAUUGCACAAUGGGCGGAAGCCUGAGGCAGCAACGCCGCGUGCGGGAUGACGGCCUUCGGGUUGUAAACCGCUUUCGACUGUGACGAAGCGUGAGUGACGGUAAUGGGUAAAGAAGCACCGGCUAACUACGUG
RNAcentral lists this ribosomal RNA (468 nucleotides) under uncultured bacterium. RNAcentral describes it as "partial 16S ribosomal RNA". It matches the Rfam family "Bacterial small subunit ribosomal RNA", at positions 28 to 507 of the family's 1533-position model. The record is from RNAcentral.